RNAcentral lists this long non-coding RNA (975 nucleotides) under Phoenix dactylifera (date palm). Its description in RNAcentral is "long non-coding RNA (PDAC_LNC008019)". The record is from RNAcentral. Lineage: Eukaryota; Viridiplantae; Streptophyta; Magnoliopsida; Arecales; Arecaceae.
UGAGCUCCUAAUUUCCUUGCAAUGGUCCCAAGGCUUCUCCCAAAGGUCAAAUGCUCUCGAGAAUCCAGUGCUCAUUUGUCCGCCCACAUGCUCCCAACUUUCCAACCGGGCACCUGCGAAUGCUGACCGGUCUCGCCGAGCGUACUCACUACCACACGUGGCAGUUCCUGGGCCUGCCACGUCUCACCGGCAUUGCGCCAUGCACAUCCUGGGAGCAUCAGGCCACACUCCACUCGUGGCAACCCUAUGCCACAACGAGGACUCCACAUUGUCCCUCUCCUAUAUAAGCACCACAUCCCCCUGCCUCCCCCCAGCCACUGAAUCCCACCAAGCCCAAUCCACCCACUGCCCACUUGCUUGCUCGCUCUUUCUUCACCAGCUCGAGCCACAUAGCAAAGGAAAUGGUUGCCAUUGCCAGGAUCAGCUCAUUGUGCAAGGAGCUUGCCAUCGAUCAGGUGAUCGGUGUUGUCCACGAGGGCAAAGAUUCUUAUGAAUAUUAUAACCAAAGAGAGUCGACACACGGAGACGGAGAUGACGACGAUGAUGAUGGAGAUUGUGCUCCAGCUGCAUGAUUGGAAGGCAAUGCCGACCCCAGCGGUGAUUGUCUUCGGCUUUUUUAGCACCACUUUGUUACCUUCUAGAGUUCUAUGGAAGUAUUCAGUUGCUUCCAGUAGACAUUAGCAAGACCACUCUAUUACCAUGAUGUUCGGUCUUCUAGACUUCUAUGGAAGUAUUCAGACGCUUCCGGACAUUAGCAACGAUGUCUGAACUGUCGACCCUAAUCUUAUAGUCUAUAUAUAUUUCAUGUUUCUAUGGUCCUUCUAUUCUACUCUAGUAUGGAAUGUUUCUCAUGUGUCAGGGGUUUCUCCAUGCAUGAUGAGAACUUGUCCUGAUGGAUGCCUGUUUCUCCCCCUCUCAGAAGACAACCUAUCUCGGAACAGUGAGUGAGACUGAGAGAAGAAAAACAGAUGAUGC